This 69-nucleotide transfer RNA is filed under the name Podarcis lilfordi (Lilford's wall lizard). RNAcentral describes it as "tRNA.Ile". It matches the Rfam family "tRNA". Rfam says of the family: Transfer RNA (tRNA) molecules are approximately 80 nucleotides in length. Lineage: Eukaryota; Metazoa; Chordata; Lepidosauria; Squamata; Lacertidae. The record is from RNAcentral.
GAUAGCUCAGUUGGUUAGAGUGUGGUGCUGAUAAUGCCAAGGUUAUGGGUUCGAUCCCUAUACGGGCCA